UUAUAAUUGAAUGCGAUGCUUCGGGGUCGGGCAUAGGGGCAGUACUUAUGCAGGAACGCCCAAUUGCUUUCUUCAGUCAAGCUUUACAUGGUAAGCACCUCCUUCUAUCUACUUAUGAGAAGGAAAUGUUGGCACUGGUUUUAGCUGUGCAAAAAUGGCGAUCAUACCUCCUCGGUCAGAAAUUUAUUGUUCGGACUGAUCAUCAGAGUUUGAAGCACUUGUGGAAUCAAAAAAUCACCACUGCUGCCCAGCAGAAUUGGUUGAUGAAAUUAAUGGGGUUUGAUUUCAUUAUACAAUACAAGGGAGGCAAAGACAACAUUGUUGCCGAUGCUUUGUCUAGAAGGGAGGAAUAUGAGACUAAUGGCGGGCAAGUUUUUGCAAUCUCUUGUCCAAUUCCACACUGGACAGAUUCAAUUAAGGAAGAAACUAAUUCUCUUCCAGAAUUGAAAGCAAAGGUGCAGCAAGUCCAAAAAGGAGAGGCACUGGGACCCUGGGAAUAUGUAGAUGGCAUCUUAUUUUUCAAAGGAAGGAUUUAUUUGUCUAAAAAUUCAGCUCUGAUUCCUGAUAUUAUUGAGCAAUUCCACAACAGCACUCAUGAAGGUUUUUUCAAGACCCUCCAGAGGAUAAGGUCCACUUUUUACUCACCAAAUCUUAAGAGUAAAGUGCGAACCUUUAUAAGGGAAUGCGAUGUCUGUCAGCGACACAAAGUUGAAAACACUCUUCCGGCCGGGCUGCUACAACCACUUCCAAUUCCUAACAGAAUUUGGGAAGAAAUUUCUAUGGAUUUUAUUG
Molecule: unclassified non-coding RNA, 792 nt
Filed under: Hevea brasiliensis (rubber tree)
Lineage: Eukaryota; Viridiplantae; Streptophyta; Magnoliopsida; Malpighiales; Euphorbiaceae
Source: RNAcentral